AGUGAACGCUGGCGGUAGGCCUAACACAUGCAAGUCGAACGGCAGCACAGUAAGAGCUUGCUCUUACGGGUGGCGAGUGGCGGACGGGUGAGGAAUACAUCGGAAUCUACUUUUUCGUGGGGGAUAACGUUGGGAAACUUACGCUAAUACCGCAUACGACCUACGGGUGAAAGCAGGGGAUCUUCGGACCUUGCGCGAUUGAAUGAGCCGAUGUCGGAUUAGCUAGUUGGCGGGGUAAAGGCCCACCAAGGCGACGAUCCGUAGCUGGUCUGAGAGGAUGAUCAGCCACACUGGAACUGAGACACGGUCCAGACUCCUACGGGAGGCAGCAGUGGGGAAUAUUGGACAAUGGGCGCAAGCCUGAUCCAGCCAUACCGCGUGGGUGAAGAAGGCCUUCGGGUUGUAAAGCCCUUUUGUCGGGAAAGAAAAGCAGCAGGUUAAUACCCCGCUGUUCUGACGGUACCCAAAGAAUAAGCACCGGCUAACUUCGUG
This 492-nucleotide ribosomal RNA is filed under the name uncultured bacterium. RNAcentral's name for it is "partial 16S ribosomal RNA". It matches the Rfam family "Bacterial small subunit ribosomal RNA", at positions 29 to 507 of the family's 1533-position model. The record is from RNAcentral.